GGGGGGAGGCCGGAUCCUGGGCUGUGUCCCGGCGCCCUGUGCUCCGGGGCCUUCGCUGUUGGAUUCGCGCUCCCGCCCCACAGCCCCCU
Molecule: non-coding RNA, 89 nt
Organism: Canis lupus familiaris (dog)
Lineage: Eukaryota; Metazoa; Chordata; Mammalia; Carnivora; Canidae
Source: Rfam